Molecule: ribosomal RNA, 336 nt
Filed under: Triticum aestivum (bread wheat)
Lineage: Eukaryota; Viridiplantae; Streptophyta; Magnoliopsida; Poales; Poaceae
Description: partial small subunit ribosomal RNA
Source: RNAcentral
AUGCUGGACAGAAUUGAUGAUGUUCCAGAAGAAAGAUUAAGAGCCUUACAGGAAAUUGAAAAAGAAAAGUUAAGAGUAGCUAAGGCUUAUAACAAAAGGGUGAGGGAAAAAUCGUUUCAAAUAGGAGACUUGGUGUGGAAAACGAUUUUGCCUGUUGGAACUAGGAACAAUAAAUUCGGCAAGUGGUCGCCGAGUUGGGAAGGCCCAUAUAGAGUUGUUGAAAUUGUUCCUGGGAAUUCAUAUUUUGUAAAAUCUUUGCAUGGGGAGAAAUUGCCUAAAGCUCUCAAUGGAAAAUAUUUAAAGAAGUAUUAUCCUAGUAUGUGGCAGGAGGCUUGA